UACGGGGGGGGCAAGCGUUGUUCGGAAUUACUGGGCGUAAAGGGCGCGUAGGCGGUUUGAUAAGUCAGCUGUGAAAACCACGGGCUUAACUCGUGGCCUGCAGUUGAGACUGUCUGGCUUGAGUGUGGGAGAGGAGAGUGGAAUUCCUGGUGUAGCGGUGAAAUGCGUAGAUAUCAGGAGGAACACCGGUGGCGAAGGCGGCUCUCUGGACCACAACUGACGCUGAGGCGCGAAAGCUAGGGGAGCAAACAGG
RNAcentral lists this ribosomal RNA (253 nucleotides) under uncultured bacterium. RNAcentral describes it as "partial 16S ribosomal RNA". It matches the Rfam family "Bacterial small subunit ribosomal RNA", at positions 524 to 776 of the family's 1533-position model. The record is from RNAcentral.